UCCGAUUUGUCACCGGCAGUCUCCUAUGAGUUCCCACCAUAACGUGCUGGCAACAUAGAACGAGGGUUGCGCUCGUUGCGGGACUUAACCCAACAUCUCACGACACGAGCUGACGACAACCAUGCACCACCUGUGCAGGGCCCUUACGGACACCGUAUCUCUACGGCUUUUCCCUGCAUGUCAAACCUUGGUAAGGUUCUUCGCGUCGCGUCGAAUUAAGCAACAUGCUCCGCCGCUUGUGCGGGCCCCCGUCAAUUCCUUUGAGUUUUAGCCUUGCGGCCGUACUCCCCAGGCGGGGCGCUUAAUGCGUUAGCUGCGGCACGGAAUCCGUGGAAGGACCCCACACCUAGCGCCCAACGUUUACAGCGUGGACUAC
Molecule: unclassified non-coding RNA, 376 nt
Filed under: uncultured Acidothermaceae bacterium
Lineage: Bacteria; Bacillati; Actinomycetota; Actinomycetes; Acidothermales; Acidothermaceae
Description: contains 16S-23S intergenic spacer region
Source: RNAcentral